RNAcentral lists this ribosomal RNA (200 nucleotides) under uncultured bacterium. Its description in RNAcentral is "partial 16S ribosomal RNA". It matches the Rfam family "Bacterial small subunit ribosomal RNA", at positions 8 to 212 of the family's 1533-position model. The record is from RNAcentral.
AGAGUUUGAUCAUGGCUCAGAUUGAACGCUGGCGGCGUGCCUAACACAUGCAAGUCGAGCGGUAACGCGGGAGCAAUCCUGGCGACGAGCGGCGAACGGGUGAGUAAUAUUUCGGAAUCUACCCACGGGUGGGGAAUAACUAGCCGAAAGGUUAGCUAAUACCGCAUAAGUCCGUAAGGGGAAAGCGGGGGAUCGCAAGA